AUUUUCGCGUUCUGAGUGCAAAUUCCUUUCGAUCGACUGAAUAAGUACCAGUCAAGCUCUGGGGUCGAUCUAAUCGACUUGCUCUAGCCCAAAAUUUCAGGUCAUUACGCCUAUAAUACUUUACGACAGUCUCCGCAAAUGUCAGUUGUGGAAGUUUUUCCCCCUUGGUAAGAUUUAAUUCCUCAAUUACCCGAUAGGGGGACAGUGGUGAAUAAUAGCUUCUAACGAGAACUGACAAUAGUGGUGAGGUGGGAGAAUAUUUGAUACCGUCGUCUCCGUUCUUGACUGGUUCUCUAUUUUAUUGACCCCGAAGAGAUGAAAAGAAGAAUUGACGUCGGUGAGAUUUGAGCUCAAAACUUAAAAAAUUGGAAGAAAUACUGCAUAGCGUAAAGAAGUGCUGUUAAUUUUGGCGCAAUGCAGGAAAUUUCGUUUCGGUAAUUAAAGCAAGCCAUUACAGUUUUUUCAUUUACUCCCCUUUGCUUCAGUCUGGCUUUCGUCGGGGAACCUGCUACACGUGGUAGCAGAUUAUCUUCGUCUCUUUUCUUCUAAGAAAUUAGCGACUUUUGUAUCAAGACUGCCGUGGAAAAUGAUUGUGUCGAAGAUAAUGAUGAAAUAAUUAUCUGGUGAUACUGGCAUCUACAGACGCUUUUACAUCAACAAUAUUUAAAAUCUGUGAAAGAGGGAUAAACAUCUGCAUAUUUUGGUGUGAGAAGAAUAAAUACGGAAAAUGAAUUAUGUGAAAGCAAGGUUAAAUCUGUAACUCAGUCUAUAAAAGGAUUGAUUCUUCUGCUGCUACAGAAGAAGGAACAGAUUAUCUGGUGAUAUUGGCAUCUACAGACGCUUUUACAUCAACGAUUAUUAAAAUCUGUGUAAAAGAGAUAAACAUCUGCAUAUUUUGGUGUGAGAAGAAUAAAUACGGAAAAUGAAUUCUGUGAAAGCAAGGUUAAAUCUGUAACUCAGUCUAUAAAAGGAUUGAUUCUUCUGCUGCUACAGAAGAAGGAACAGAUUUUCAGAUGACAUCACCCUCUACUGAUGGAGUCGGCUACUCUGGGAAACCUGUUUAAAAUCUCAGCCAAGGCAGCAUCUGCAUCAAUUCCACGAACUAAUUGGGUGAAAUGUUUCACGAGUCACUUAGCUCAGUGGUACAGCAUGCUUAAUUGGGGUUCGAGAAGUAUGGGUUUGGCCAUCUGUUGCGGCUUGCCGUGCAAUUUUUGCACUCAAGAAGACCUGCCCUCCACAGCAGAAGUGUUAUGGUUGCGUCACCUGGUGAAGAAGAUUGACCUGCAAGCGCCCUGUGUCAAUACCACAGAAAAUGCACUUGUAUUGGUGUCAUGUAAAAUAUCUCAUGCUGGUGGCCCGUUAAAAGCACUCCGCACACUGUAAAGCGGUUGGUGUUGGGAAGGACAUCCGGCUGUAGAAACCAAGCCAAGUCAAACUGGAGCCUAAUGCAGCUUCCUAGCUUGCUUGUUCUGGUCAAACCGUCCGACCCAUGCCAGCACGGAAAACAGACACGAACCCUUUAAUGUUAGAUUACUCUGUAAGAUGUUCUGCUUAUUUAUUCAUAUUGUUUUGUGUUAAUCAUGCAUUAGGUGUAAGAGUGGCUGUGUGGUAAGUAGCUUGCUUACGAGCCACAAGGUUCCGGGCUCAGUUCCACUGCGUGGCACCUUGG
This is a long non-coding RNA of Octopus sinensis (East Asian common octopus), 1669 nucleotides long. RefSeq lists it as uncharacterized. NCBI's taxonomy places the organism in Eukaryota, Metazoa, Mollusca, Cephalopoda, Octopoda, Octopodidae. The record is from RefSeq and is a predicted model, not a curated record. The transcript has 4 exons.